CUUGGUCAUUUAGAGGAAGUAAAAGUCGUAACAAGGUCUCCGUUGGUGAACCAGCGGAGGGAUCAUUAAAGAGUUGCAAAACUCCCUUUAAACCAUCGCGAACGUUACCCACGACGCCGUUGCCUCGGCGGAGCGUCGCCCCGUGCCGUCAAAAGCACGGGGCGGCGCCCGCCGGGAGACCGGCACAACCAAACUCUUAUAACCAUUGGCCUCUCUGAGUAAGAUUUUUAAAUAAGUCAAAACUUUCAACAACGGAUCUCUUGGUUCUGGCAUCGAUGAAGAACGCAGCGAAAUGCGAUAAGUAAUGUGAAUUGCAGAAUUCAGUGAAUCAUCGAGUCUUUGAACGCACAUUGCGCCCGCCAGUAUUCUGGCGGGCAUGCCUGUUCGAGCGUCAUUUCAACCAUCAAGCCCUGCUUGUGUUGGGGUCCUGCGGCUGCCCGCAGGCCCUGAAAACCAGUGGCGGGCUCGCUAGUCACACCGAGCGCAGUAGCACAUCUCGCUUUGGUCGUGCGGCGGGUUCUUGCCGUAAAACACCCCCCUUUUAUCAAGGUUGACCUCGGAUCAGGUAGGAAUACCCGCUGAACUUAAGCAUAUCAAUAAGCGGAGGA
Molecule: ribosomal RNA, 608 nt
Filed under: uncultured fungus
Lineage: Eukaryota; Fungi
Description: eukaryotic LSU rRNA
Rfam family: 5.8S ribosomal RNA (bases 241-394)
Source: RNAcentral